RNAcentral lists this ribosomal RNA (634 nucleotides) under uncultured Russula. RNAcentral describes it as "eukaryotic LSU rRNA". The stretch from base 190 to 343 matches the Rfam family "5.8S ribosomal RNA". The record is from RNAcentral. Lineage: Eukaryota; Fungi; Basidiomycota; Agaricomycetes; Russulales; Russulaceae.
GGGUUGUCGCUGACCUUUCCAAAAGGUCGUGCACGCCCGAGCGCUCUCAAUCCAUUUCACCCCUUGUGCAUCACCGCGCGGGGUCGCUCCCUCUUGGCUCGCUUCGAGAGGGGGAGGCUCGCGUUUUUCACACAUAAACACCCUUCUGGUUUAGAAUGUCAUUCAUUUGCGAUCACACGCAAUCAAUACAACUUUCAACAACGGAUCUCUUGGCUCUCGCAUCGAUGAAGAACGCAGCGAAAUGCGAUACGUAAUGUGAAUUGCAGAAUUCAGUGAAUCAUCGAAUCUUUGAACGCAUCUUGCGCCCCUUGGUAUUCCGAGGGGCACACCCGUUUGAGUGUCGUGAAAUUCUCAAACCUUCUUGGUUUCUCGAUCAAGAUGGCUUUGGACUUUGGAGGCAUUUUGCUGGCUUUGCGAAAAGCCAGCUCCUCUUAAAUACAUUAGUGGGGUCCCCUUUGCCGAUCCCCAGGCGUGAUAAGAUGUUUCUACGUCUCGGGAUUUGCUCUGUUCCUUGGGAACCCGCUUAUAACCGUCUCAUGGGAGACAUCGUUCGAGCAUGCUCGACCCACGAACCUUGACCUCAAAUCGGGUGAGACUACCCGCUGAACUUAAGCAUAUCAAUAGGNGGGAGGAA